AGUGAACGCUGGCGGUAGGCCUAACACAUGCAAGUCGAACGGCAGCACAGUAAGAGCUUGCUCUUACGGGUGGCGAGUGGCGGACGGGUGAGGAAUACAUCGGAAUCUACUUUUUCGUGGGGGAUAACGUAGGGAAACUUACGCUAAUACCUCAUACGACCUACGGGUGAAAGCAGGGGAUCUUCGGACCUUGCGCGAUUGAAUGAGCCGAUGUCGGAUUAGCUAGUUGGCGGGGUAAAGGCCCACCAAGGCGACGAUCCGUAGCUGGUCUGAGAGGAUGAUCAGCCACACUGGAACUGAGACACGGUCCAGACUCCUACGGGAGGCAGCAGUGGGGAAUAUUGGACAAUGGGCGCAAGCCUGAUCCAGCCAUACCGCGUGGGUGAAGAAGGCCUUCGGGUUGGAAAGCCCUUUUGUUGGGAAAGAAAAGCAGCAGGUUAAUACCCCGCUGUUCUGACGGUACCCAAAGAAUAAGCACCGGCUAACUUCGUG
Molecule: ribosomal RNA, 492 nt
Filed under: uncultured bacterium
Lineage: Bacteria
Description: partial 16S ribosomal RNA
Rfam family: Bacterial small subunit ribosomal RNA
Source: RNAcentral